Molecule: long non-coding RNA, 2602 nt
Filed under: Salmo salar (Atlantic salmon)
Lineage: Eukaryota; Metazoa; Chordata; Actinopteri; Salmoniformes; Salmonidae
Description: lncRNA (ENSSSAG00000117430.1)
Source: RNAcentral
AGAUUUGUUUAACACGGUUCAUGAUAUGAUAUGAUAUGAUCCUUUCAAACAUUGGGUAAAUGUCCUAAAGUAGACACCGUAGAAAAUGACAAGCCUGCCCAUCUAUGCUCACCGCAUCUUUAUGACGUUGACAGUAGUCGUCUAACGCAAGGCUUGUAUUUGAAGGUUAGUUCGGUGGACAAUGGCUAUUCUGAGCAGAAGUGCUCUGACCGUUGGGGGAAUAACUUGGCGGAGAAGAACACCCAGUGCCAUUUCCUUCGCUGACACGAAGCUAGCCAAUGCUUAAGAGUGUCGUGGAUCUUAGCUAAAGGCUGCAGCAUAGGUGGAAAUAGCUAUACACUCCAAGAAAAUUAGAACGCACAGAACUCUGUGAAUGUGUGCACAAGUUCUACAGAUUUUUUCUCAUGCGUUCUUUUUUUCCCCGUUUUCAUCCGUUCUUCUUUCAGGGUCAUUGGUUUGCUUUUUUUGAGGUCCAGACAGAUCCAUGGGGAGCCAAAAGGCCACUAGAAGGGUUUGGUCACAUCUCAAGGUGGCCGAUAUCUACGUCAGACACCAAUGUGGACUUAAACAUACGAUAACUACAGUAGAUUCAAUUUUUGAUUCUUUCUACACUUUUUAUGGAGUUCUCUUUGUACAUACAAUAUGAGAGUGCCCAUAUUAUAUACUUUCACCAUUCCCCUUUUACCAAAUGUGUUACAAGUCAAUUACCCUCUCUUCUAUCUUUUUCUUUCUGUGAGCAUGGUUAGGGCUGUGGCGGUCAUGACAUUUUGUCAGACAGUUAUUGUCAUGCAAAAGACCGCCAGUCUCACGGGUAAUUGACCGUCUGUUGACAGCCCCUCUCUCUGUGCGCUGGAGAAAGGAAUGAAGGAGAGCGAGGAGGAGAUGGAAACGCAUGGUGGUGAGGUAAUGUGUAGCUAAAGAUAAUGUAUCAGGAAAAAAAAAAGACAAUUACUAGGUUAUUCAAAAUCAAACACAAAAAAAUUUUCACAAAAAACGAACCAACAGCAUGGGCUAGGCCUGUACAUUUUCUCCCAGACUCAUGGAUAGAAGGUUUGGAGCAUAGCAAAAUGUAAGCAGUCCAUCCAAUAUGCAUGUAAGCAGUCCAUCCAAAGGCGAUUAAUAGAAUUUGUUUAAUUGUGGGAGUACGGGCUAGACCAAUUAUGUACCAAAGACAUCUUAAAUCAGUUUUUUAUUUCUUUUUCUGCCGUGUGUAAUAUGCAGUAUGCUAUGUAUUGUAAAACGGCACAAUCAUUCUUUUCAUAAAACAUUCUUUGGGGGGCUCAUAUAUAGGUCAAUGCGUAUGGAUAGGCUCUAAUGUGCACAGGGGUGUCCUGAAUGAAUCAUCACCUUAGAAAGCGCUGUCCAUUUCGUUGUGUUCGGUUUUUCUACAACGUCCAUGUUUUCUCCCUCAGUUUCAACCUGUCGUUGAACUUCUUUCUUCAAAUUGAUCGAUCGCAGUGAGGUGAGUUUUAAAAGCAUGAUAGUGUUUUGAUGAUAAGUGUUUGAUGUGAAUUUUAGAUUGCAUUUGCAUUGAUGUCAGAGCGGUUAGAGGGACAAUAGAGUACAUGGCCGUUAGUGACCUGAUGGUUAAUACUGAGUUGGGUACUACCAACGCAUGUCCAGAGAUCAGAAGAGGAGAUGACCGUGACUCAACGGUCACAUUGGAUUUUACUGCGGUUAUGACUCAUGACUGCCAGUGUGGUGGUAAUACGGGUCACCGCAACAGCCCUAACUGAGCACGGCCCUUUACUGUUACAACAUGACUGCAUCAGACCACACACAACUAAGUCAAUCGAAAGCCUACUGCACACCCUGAGUCUAGGUGGUUACUUCUGAGCUCCUUGGUUAAUCACAUUCAAGUCAACUGGGUUUUAAAAGACAUGACAGACAUGACAAGUUUGCUGUGUUGUCCCAACAACAAUAACCACCGCCCCCUAGUCCACAUUCGUCACAUUUAAGAUGAAACGGGGGUUAAGAUAACAGCGAACGGCGGGAGUAGGACAGAACACACUCGCACAAAGGUAAAGUUAGGUAGGAGAGACUCUUUGUGAGAUGGCGUGGAACACACACACCAACAUACACACAAGCAUUCAAAUGGUCUCACACCCACACACAUGGACAAGAACACAAGCACACACACAAAGACACAGACCCAUUUUCUCUGUCUCUGUCACGCACACACGCUCAGACGCUCUCACAAACAGACACAGACACACACGUUUUUAUCUCCCUCUGUCACGCCCACACGCUCGAACGCUCUCGCAAACAGACACAGACACAAACACACUCACAGUCUCCUUCACACUCACACACACGGGCGGAGAUUGCAUGCACGGUGGUUUUAACGGCUCGUCACAGCGCGGCCCUAUCUUGGUGGCCAGCUCUGCUCCGGCUCAGCACCGUCUCCUGCCACUGGCUGCAGGGGGAAAGAGGAUUAGCCCGCGGUCCACAGCAGCCGUGCCGGGCUUAGACUGGUUAGCGUGCGCGGCAUGAGAGGAAGGUGGGAUAAUGCCAUUUCAUGUCUCUCUGUUUCAGAGCAGGCGGCUCGGAGCAGUUCGGAGCUCUGGCAUGAGACAACGUGUCUCUAUCGUGACACACCGAC